RNAcentral lists this long non-coding RNA (528 nucleotides) under Mus musculus (house mouse). Its description in RNAcentral is "predicted gene, 49662". The record is from RNAcentral. Lineage: Eukaryota; Metazoa; Chordata; Mammalia; Rodentia; Muridae.
CUUUUGAAAGCCAGAAGUAUUCCCACAAUCCCUCCUACACCAGUGUCAAGGCCUCCAGAUCCUUCCGAAUGUUCCCAAACUCCUAAAUGUCGCCGAGCUUGAGCUCCAGGUAGGCUGGUUUCCGUUGCAGCAGAUUGAAGUCACCCAGGACUUCCGGGGAGCCAGAGCCCGUGAGCUGUGGGCUGGUGAAAUGUCAGGAGAGGAAAAGCUGUGGGUGCCAAGCCUUAGCUACAAGCAGGCCUCUGCUGUUCCCCAGAACCUCAACUCCCACCAAGACUCCAUUGCUGCGCAGCCCGAACUACACCUCCCCUGUGUUAUUCUUUGUCUUUGCGUUAAAAUUUAAGUAAACUGAAGAACUAGCCAGAUAUUCUCACCCACCAGCCUAUCUGUCUUUUAAAAGGUCUUAGAGAAGAGGCAAGAAUGAUGGUCCCUAUGAAGAUGGAGAAGAAGGCAGAGCCGUCUGCAGAUGCUGAGAGAAAUAGCAGAAGCCAGGGAUGAGCAGAGAGGGAUGAGCAUCAAAGGCCGACU